GUGGAUAACUUGGCUUGUGUACUGAUGAAGGACGUGGCAAGCUGCGAUAAGCUUGGGGUAGGUGCAUGCAACCUUUGAUCCCAAGAUUUCUGAAUUAUUCACUUUAUGAAAAUAAGGUGAAGGGGUAACCCAGGGAAUUGAAGCAUCUUAGUACCUGGAGGAAAAGAAAACAAUAGUGAUUCUGUAAAUAGAGUUGAUCGAAAGCAGAAGAGAACAAACCGAAUCUCUUAUAGUAAUAUAAGAGACAUGUGGGGUAUGGCUUGGUUACUUCUUAUAUAUUUAAGUUGAAGCGAUCUGGAAAGAUCUACCAUAGAGGGUGAUAGUCCCGUAAGCAGAAGAUAUCUGAGAAGAUUUCCGAUGUCCUAGAGUAUUGCGCGUUGGAUAUCGCGUAAGAAAAUAGCUGGCAUUUACAGCUAAUUCUAAAUAUAACACAAGACCGAUAGUGAACGAGUACUGCGAAGGAAUGUUGAAAAGAUCCCUUGACGGGGAGUAAAAAGCACUUGAAACUAAUUGGUGACAGCGCGGGUGUGGCUUGAAAGGAAUGAGAGUAAUUUAUAAGUGAUAAAAGGUAACUUUUAAAGCGCAAAUUACUUGAUCAGGGUCACACUGUCCGUCACGAAGCACGGGCGAGGGAGUUAGUUUGUGUGGCAAGACUAAGCGAUUAAGUCGUUGUGUCGUAGGGAAACCGAUGUGCCGCAAGAUUCUGAGGGCUAAAGGUAUUAACUGUGCCUUAAGUCACAUAAACUAGACCCGAAACCAGGUGAUAAACUCCUGAGCUUGAUGAAACCAACCGCCUGGUUGGUGGAGGUCAUAAGCGGUACUAGUCUAACUGUUCGUAUGACUUGGGAGUAGGACUGAUAAGGUUAUCGAACCUGGUGAUAGCGGGCUCCUAUCGAAAUAACUCUGAGGUUAGCAUGGAUGGAGAAGAAUAACGGGGUAGAGCUACUGAUUAGAAAGUACUGGGAAGAAAUUUCCACCUUUCUUGUUAAACUCCGAAUCUGUUAUUUUCUAAGAAGUCCAGAGUAGGGGGCGGGGGGUAAGCCUCUGUUCCAAAAGGGAAAAAACCCAGACUAUGAUUAAGGCCCUUAAGUACAAACUAAGUGUAAAUUCGAAAAGAGUAGUUUUCCUAAGACAAUUGGGAGGUUGGCUUAGAAGCAGCCAUCCUUUAAAGAGUGCGUAAUAGCUCACCAAUCUAGGACGAUUGCCUUGAAAAUUAACGGGGCUAAGUUUGUCGCCGAUAUCAUAGAGCACAUGCAAUAUGUGAUCUGGUAGGUAGGUGCUUUGAUAGAGCAGAAGGUGGGGGGUAACGUCCACUGGAUCUGUCAAAGAUAUGGAUCCUCGCGAUAGUAACAUCAAAGAAAUGUGAGAAUCAUUUCCGCUGAAAGGGCAAGGGUUCCUUAGCACUAAUCUUUAGCUAAGGGUAAGUCGAUCCUAAGUCUCUUCGUAACUCGAAGAAUGACGAAAGGGAAACAGGUUCAUAUUCCUGUACCGAUAAUGCACGUGUGGUAACGCAAGUAUAGUUUCUAACACUUUUGGCAAGGUGGAGUAUGCUUGUCUGCAUAUCUAAACCUUAUAGAUCUCCGGAGAAUUAUAAUAAUGAGAUGGAGAUUAAAGAGGUGAAUGGGAGAAAUCUUUUAUCAAGGCCAAGGGUCCAUGAAAAAGAAACUAUAAAGUGUAUUGUUGUUCGUACCCAGAACUGAGAAAGGUGUCCCUGGCUGAAUAGGCCAAAGCGUAAUAAGAGAAUAAAGUUAAGGGAAUUCGGCAAAUUAGCCCUGUAUCUUAGGUAGAAGGGGUGCUUACGGUUGAGUAAACUGUAAGUUUUAAUUACAAAGAUGGUCCGACUGUUUAUCAAAAACACAGGUGACUGCUAGCCGGAAACGGUGUGUAUAGUCACUGACUUCUGCUCACUGCUAGUACGUGAACGCCAGGUCCAACUGGUCUAAGCGCUGGUAAAGAGCGGGCCUAACUCUGAGGCUCUCAUGGUAGCGUAAUACCUUGCCGAUUAAAUGUCGGCUUGCACCAAGGAAGUAACGAGAUCGUCACUGUCCCUAACUUUAACUUAGUGAACUUGCUUAGCGUGGUGAAUAAGCCACGGACAACCAAUGGGAGGAUAAGACCCCACGGAGGUUUACCACAGUCUGGUGUUGUUGUAUUGUUUUUACUAUAGAGCGUAGAUGGGAGUCGCUUUAGCUGCUUUCGCUAGGAAGUAGUCAGACGCCAAUGUAACACCAUCUAGUAGGAAAAAUACAACUUACGUCUAUAUGACGGACAUCACUUGAUCGGGUGGUUGGACUGGGGCGGUACGCCCCUGAAAAGAUAUCAGGGGCGUCCAAAGGUCUGCUCAGGCUGGUCAGAAAUCAGCCGUAGAGGACAAGACCAAAAGCAGGCUUAACAAUGUUCUUAAAAGCACGGAACGUUGGAAGGAAACUUGGGUCUAGCGAACGCUAGUGUCCCUAUUUAUGGGGGCCUAGUCUGACAGUGAACUUACCCUGGGGGUAACUGGGUUGUCGCGGGUGAGAGUUCACAUCGACCCCGCGGUUUGCUACCUCGCUGUCGGCUUACGGCAUCCUGGCUGUGCACAAGCAGCCAAGGGUGGAGGUGUUCACUCAUUAAAGCCGUACAUUAGCUGGGUUAAGAACGUUGCGAGACAGUUUGGUUCCUAUCUAUUGGUUGUGUUGGUUGUUUGAAGGUAAGAUCCGUUUAGUACGAGAGGAACGAUGGGUCGCAGUCUCUGGUGUGUGGGUUGUCUGACAAGGCAAUGCCCAGUAGCUACGCUGUAUUCGAUAAGUGCUGAAAGCAUCUAAGCACGAAGCGAACCCUAAAACGAGACAGCCAUUUUCGCAGAAAUGCGAGACGAGAACUCCGGAAGAAGACCGGUUUGAUAGGUUAGGAGUAUACGA
Molecule: ribosomal RNA, 2900 nt
Filed under: archaeon
Lineage: Archaea
Description: 23S ribosomal RNA
Rfam family: Archaeal large subunit ribosomal RNA
Source: RNAcentral